This 262-nucleotide unclassified non-coding RNA is filed under the name plant metagenome. RNAcentral's name for it is "partial contains small subunit ribosomal RNA, internal transcribed spacer 1, and 5.8S ribosomal RNA". The record is from RNAcentral.
UCUCCGUUGGUGAACCAGCGGAGGGAUCAUUACCGAGUUUACAACUCCCAAACCCCUAUGUGAACGUUACCAAACUGUUGCCUCGGCGGGAAAUUCAUGCCCCGGGCGCGUCGCAGCCCCGGACCAAGGCGCCCGCCGGAGGACCAACCAAAACCCUUUUGUAUGUCCCUCGCGGACUUUUAUAAUUCUGAACCAUCUCGGCGCCCCUAGCGGGCGUUUCGAAAAUGAAUCAAAACUCUCAACAACGGAUCUCUUGGUUCUG